AUGGAGCCGACCUUGAAAUACCACCCUUUAAUGUUUGAUGUUCUAACGUGGACCCGUAAUCCGGGUUGCGGACAGUGUCUGGUGGGUAGUUUGACUGGGGCGGUCUCCUCCUAAAGAGUAACGGAGGAGCACGAAGGUUGGCUAAUCCUGGUCGGACAUCAGGAGGUUAGUGCAAUGGCAUAAGCCAGCUUGACUGCGAGCGUGACGGCGCGAGCAGGUGCGAAAGCAGGUCAUAGUGAUCCGGUGGUUCUGAAUGGAAGGGCCAUCGCUCAACGGAUAAAAGGUACUCCGGGGAUAACAGGCUGAUACCGCCCAAGAGUUCAUAUCGACGGCGGUGUUUGGCACCUCGAUGUCGGCUCAUCACAUCCUGGGGCUGAAGUAGGUCCCAAGGGUAUGGCUGUUCGCCAUUUAAAGUGGUACGCGAGCUGGGUUUAGAACGUCGUGAGACAGUUCGGUCCCUAUCUGCCGUGGGCGCUGGAGAACUGAGGGGGGCUGCUCCUAGUACGAGAGGACCGGAGUGGACGCAUCACUGGUGUUCGGGUUGUCAUGCCAAUGGCACUGCCCGGUAGCUAAAUGCGGAAGAGAUAAGUGCUGAAAGCAUCUAAGCACGAAACUUGCCCCGAGAUGAGUUCUCCCUG
This 638-nucleotide ribosomal RNA is filed under the name Salmonella enterica. RNAcentral describes it as "partial 23S ribosomal RNA". It matches the Rfam family "Bacterial large subunit ribosomal RNA", at positions 2180 to 2817 of the family's 2925-position model. Lineage: Bacteria; Pseudomonadati; Pseudomonadota; Gammaproteobacteria; Enterobacterales; Enterobacteriaceae. The record is from RNAcentral.